Molecule: unclassified non-coding RNA, 341 nt
Filed under: Hevea brasiliensis (rubber tree)
Lineage: Eukaryota; Viridiplantae; Streptophyta; Magnoliopsida; Malpighiales; Euphorbiaceae
Source: RNAcentral
AAAUAGUGUAUUUUUCAAAAUAUAAAGACUAAAUAAUUAAUUUAAUGAAAAUACAGAGAUUAAAUAAUAAUUUUUCCUUUUCUUUCUUGCUAGCAAACCUUAGCAUGAAACCUAAAACUCAUUUUUAUCAUUAUGGAUUUUCUAUUUGGGUUGUAAAAAAAAGCUCUAUUUUCAUUGUGCAACGUACUAAUCCAUGAAGUAAUACUAUGUUGGGUCAAUUUGCAAACAGGUUUUGCUGAAAUUUGCAAAGUUCCUGCCCCUGAAAAAGAAUGCAUACGGUGACAAAUGCUCAUCUUCUGCCAGGUAAGAAGGGUAUCUUAUUCGGGACCAUGAAAUUUUAU